GAUGAACGCUGGCGGCGUGCCUAAUACAUGCAAGUCGAGCGAACAGACGAGGAGCUUGCUCCUCUGACGUUAGCGGCGGACGGGUGAGUAACACGUGGAUAACCUACCUAUAAGACUGGGAUAACUUCGGGAAACCGGAGCUAAUACCGGAUAAUAUAUUGAACCGCAUGGUUCAAUAGUGAAAGACGGUUUUGCUGUCACUUAUAGAUGGAUCCGCGCCGCAUUAGCUAGUUGGUAAGGUAACGGCUUACCAAGGCAACGAUGCGUAGCCGACCUGAGAGGGUGAUCGGCCACCCUGGAACUGAGACACGGCCCAGACUCCUACGGGAGGCAGCAGUAGGGAAUCUUCCGCAAUGGGCGAAAGCUUGACGGAGCAACGCCGCGUGAGUGAUGAAGGUCUUCGGAUCGUAAAACUCUGUUAUUAGGGAAGAACAAAUGUGUAAGUAACUAUGCACGUCGUGACGGUACCUAAUCAGAAAGCCACGGCUAACUACGUG
This 497-nucleotide ribosomal RNA is filed under the name uncultured bacterium. RNAcentral's name for it is "partial 16S ribosomal RNA". It matches the Rfam family "Bacterial small subunit ribosomal RNA", at positions 28 to 507 of the family's 1533-position model. The record is from RNAcentral.